RNAcentral lists this ribosomal RNA (1438 nucleotides) under Leptolyngbya sp. Its description in RNAcentral is "bacterial LSU rRNA". It matches the Rfam family "Bacterial large subunit ribosomal RNA", at positions 1 to 1466 of the family's 2925-position model. Lineage: Bacteria; Bacillati; Cyanobacteriota; Cyanophyceae; Leptolyngbyales; Leptolyngbyaceae. The record is from RNAcentral.
AGGUCAAGCUACAACGGGCUCACGGUGGAUACCUAGGCACGCAGAGGCGAAGAAGGACGUGGUUACCGACGAUACGCUUCGGGGAGCUGGAAGCAGGCAUUGAUCCGAAGGUUUCCGAAUGGGGCAACCCUAAAUACGGCCACCUGAAUCCAUAGGGUGGCGCGAGCGAACGCAGCGAACUGAAACAUCUUAGUAGCUGUAGGAAGAGAAAGAAAACUCGAUUCCCGUAGUAGCGGCGAGCGAACUGGGAAGAGCCUAAACCAGUGGUUUUUACCAUUGGGGUUGUGGGACAGCGAUAUGGACUCGAGCGGUUAGACGAAGCAUUGGAAUGAUGCACCAGAGAAGGUGAAAGUCCUGUAGUCGAAAACUUAACGAUACUAGCUGAAUCCCGAGUAGGUCGGGGCACGAGAAAUCCCGAUUGAAUCCGCGAGGACCACCUCGUAAGGCUAAAUACUCCUGCGUGACCGAUAGUGAACCAGUACCGCGAGGGAAAGGUGAAAAGAACCCCGGGAGGGGAGUGAAAUAGAACAUGAAACCGUGAGCCUACAAGCAGUUAGAGCCCGAUUAAACGGGUGAUAGCGUGCCUGUUGAAGAAUGAGCCGGCGACUUAUAGGGUCUGGCAGGUUAAAGCGGAAAUGCUGAAGCCAAAGCGAAAGCGAGUCUGAAUAGGGCGAUAGUCAGAUUUUAUAGACCCGAACCCGGGUGAUCUAACCAUGGCCAGGAUGAAGCUUGGGUGAUACCAAGUGGAGGUCCGAACCGACUGGCGUUGAAAAGCCAGCGGAUGAGCUGUGGUUAGGGGUGAAAUGCCAAUCGAACCCGGAGCUAGCUGGUUCUCCUCGAAAUGUGUUGAGGCACAGCGGUAUUGAUUAUAUACGGGGGGUAAAGCACUGAUUCGGUGCGGGCUGCGAGAGCGGUACCAAAUCGAGUCAAACUCAGAAUACCCGUAGCACACAAUGCCAGUCAGACGGUGGGGGAUAAGCUUCAUCGUCGAAAGGGAAACAGCCCAGACCACCAGCUAAGGUCCCCAAAUGGAUGCUAAGUGAUAAAGGAGGUGGGAUUGCAGAGACAACCAGGAGGUUUGCCUAGAAGCAGCCAUCCUUAAAAGAGUGCGUAAUAGCUCACUGGUCAAGCGAUCCUGCGCCGAAAAUGAACGGGGCUAAGCAUCCUACCGAAGCUGUGGACUUGUAUUUAUACAAGUGGUAGAGGAGCGUUCUGUACGAGUUGAAGCGUUAGCGAGAGCAGGCGUGGAUUGUACAGAAGUGAGAAUGUCGGCUUAAGUAGCGAAAAUGUAGGUGAGAAUCCUACACCCCGAAAUCCCAAGGUUUCCUCCGGAAGGCUCGUCCGCGGAGGGUUAGUCGGGACCUAAGGCGAGGCCGAAAGGCGUAGUCGAUGGACAACGGAUUAAUAUUUCCGUACCUGAUUUGGAUUGUGGCGGGGG